This 22-nucleotide microRNA is filed under the name Heligmosomoides polygyrus. Its description in RNAcentral is "hpo-miR-10139-3p". Lineage: Eukaryota; Metazoa; Nematoda; Chromadorea; Rhabditida; Heligmosomidae. The record is from miRBase by way of RNAcentral.
AUGUGUCAGAUGGGUGGUUGAA